UUUAAUCAUUGAAUUUUACUUUUUAAAAACUAUGUAUUAUUAUUUAAACAGACAGAAUUUAAUGGUUACAUUACUAAUGUUUAUGUAACACCCCGUUUUUUUUUUUCUAACGGUAUACGAUAAAGCACUCACACAACACAAUACCGAAAUCUCAUAUUAUUCCAACCAUGCACAAGAGAAACUUGUCCACCUUCAUUGUUCCAAAUCAAUUGUACAUACAUCUCCACCUCUACAACACAUAGUAACACAAUAUCAAACAUUCCUAGAUGUUCAAUAUCCAGACUAAACCAGCCUUUCAAACUACUUUAAAUCACAAACAAAACUUGUGCCCUAUGGCACUACCGACGGGGCUCCGUUACCAGCCGCUCGGAUCCCAAUUCCGUUCUUACUCCACCUGUGAAUGAUGAGAAGUGAGUUCACAUAACUCAAUACGAUAAAAAUCAAGUUGUAAGUGCAAUAUGCAG
RNAcentral lists this long non-coding RNA (464 nucleotides) under Carica papaya (papaya). Its description in RNAcentral is "long non-coding RNA (CPAP_LNC013465)". The record is from RNAcentral. Lineage: Eukaryota; Viridiplantae; Streptophyta; Magnoliopsida; Brassicales; Caricaceae.